AAUAGAUACCCAGGUAGUCCACGCCGUAAACGAUGAGUGCUAAGUGUUAGAGGGUUUCCGCCCUUUAGUGCUGAAGUUAACGCAUUAAGCACUCCGCCUGGGGAGUACGGCCGCAAGGCUGAAACUCAAAGGAAUUGACGGGGGCCCGCACAAGCGGUGGAGCAUGUGGUUUAAUUCGAAGCAACGCGAAGAACCUUACCAGGUCUUGACAUCCUCUGACAACCCUAGAGAUAGGGCUUCUCCUUCGGGAGCAGAGUGACAGGUGGUGCAUGGUUGUCGUCAGCUCGUGUCGUGAGAUGUUGGGUUAAGUCCCGCAACGAGCGCAACCCUUGAUCUUAGUUGCCAUCAUUUAGUUGGGCACUCUAAGGUGACUGCCGGUGACAAACCGGAGGAAGGUGGGGAUGACGUCAAAUCAUCAUGCCCCUUAUGACCUGGGCUACACACGUGCUACAAUGGACGGUACAAAGAGCUGCAAGACCGUGAGGUGGAGCUAAUCUCAUAAAACCGUUCUCAGUUCGGA
Molecule: ribosomal RNA, 520 nt
Filed under: uncultured bacterium
Lineage: Bacteria
Description: bacterial SSU rRNA
Rfam family: Bacterial small subunit ribosomal RNA
Source: RNAcentral